GUCCCCUUGCUUUUGUUGUUGUUCUCUUUGGUUAAGAGCACAUAGCAUGAGAUCUACCUUCUUAACAAGUUUUUAAGUGAACAGCACCCUGUUGUUAACUAUGUUACUACUGUUAACUAACAGUUUUCGUGUAAGUGGAAUCAUGCAGCAUUUGUUCUUCUGUGAAUGACUUAUUUCCAGGCAUAAUGUUUUCCAUGGUGAUACGAUGUCUCCUGUUCAUCACACCAAACCUCAUGAAAGACCCAAACUGGGCUGGUCUUCAGUGUCUUCCCUGAGGAUAGUCAUCGUGAGGGGACCACAGCAGGCCAUCAAAAUAAAAACUAUUCAAGAAGUCAGCUGCUGCUGUAAAGGUCAUCUGGAAAGUCCAGGGAAGGGCCCUGAGCUGCUGCUGGGAAAGGGAAAUUGUCCUCUGGCCCGUGAUCUGGCAUGUUUGUCUGCUGAGUGGCUUCAGUGGUUUCAUCUAUUGCUGAAAGAGCCAAGAGAAAGGAAUAAAACAGGACUAUAAUCCACACCACAAUGAGCAGGAUGAGAAGAGCAGCCAAGUGAGUGUUUUGUUUAUGUGCUGCCCCUUCUGGCACACCGAACUGCUGCACAGAUUUUAUGGG
This 605-nucleotide long non-coding RNA is filed under the name Ursus maritimus (polar bear). RNAcentral's name for it is "lncRNA (ENSUMAG00000011111.1)". The record is from RNAcentral. Lineage: Eukaryota; Metazoa; Chordata; Mammalia; Carnivora; Ursidae.